CACAGGUAGUCGAGUGGAGAACACUAAGGUGAGCGAGAGAACUCUCGUUAAGGAACUCGGCAAAAUGACCCCGUAACUUCGGAAGAAGGGGUGCUAGCCAAGAGAUUGGUUAGCCGCAGUGAAUAGGCCCAAACAACUGUUUAUCAAAAACACAGGUCUCUGCAAAAUCGUAAGAUGACGUAUAGAGGCUGACACCUGCCCGGUGCUGGAAGGUUAAGAGGAGAGCUUAGCGUAAGCGAAGGUUUGAAUUGAAGCCCCAGUAAACGGCGGCCGUAACUAUAACGGUCCUAAGGUAGCGAAAUUCCUUGUCGGGUAAGUUCCGACCUGCACGAAAGGUGUAAUGAUUUGGGCACUGUCUCAACGAGAGACUCGGUGAAAUUAUAAUACCCGUGAAGAUGCGGGUUACCCGCGACAGGACGGAAAGACCCCAUGGAGCUUCACUGUAGCUUGAUAUUGAGUAUCUUUUAAACAUGUACAGGAUAGGUAGGAGCCAGAGAAGAUAGGACGCUAGUCUUAUUGGAGGCAAUGUUGGGAUACUACCCUUGUUUGAAGGAUGCUCUAACCUCGACCUGUAAGCCAGGCCAGGGACAGUGUCAGGUGGGCAGUUUGACUGGGGCGG
RNAcentral lists this ribosomal RNA (619 nucleotides) under Lactobacillus crispatus. Its description in RNAcentral is "partial 23S ribosomal RNA". It matches the Rfam family "Bacterial large subunit ribosomal RNA", at positions 1658 to 2282 of the family's 2925-position model. Lineage: Bacteria; Bacillati; Bacillota; Bacilli; Lactobacillales; Lactobacillaceae. The record is from RNAcentral.